This is a non-coding RNA of Podarcis lilfordi (Lilford's wall lizard), 78 nucleotides long. NCBI's taxonomy places the organism in Eukaryota, Metazoa, Chordata, Lepidosauria, Squamata, Lacertidae. The record is from the annotation of a GenBank genome assembly.
GGCAGUGCGGUUUAGCGGUUAGAGCGCCGGGCUAGGACCUGGGAGAUCAGGGUUCAAAACGCGCCUGGCACCCGGCUA